GUCGAACGAGCGAGAGGGAGCUUGCUUUCUCGAGCGAGUGGCGAACGGGUGAGUAACGCGUGAGGAACCUGCCUCAAAGAGGGGGACAACAGUUGGAAACGACUGCUAAUACCGCAUAAGCCCACGGGUCGGCAUCGACCAGAGGGAAAAGGAGCAAUCCGCUUUGAGAUGGCCUCGCGUCCGAUUAGCUAGUUGGUGAGGUAACGGCCCACCAAGGCAACGAUCGGUAGCCGGACUGAGAGGUUGAACGGCCACAUUGGGACUGAGACACGGCCCAGACUCCUACGGGAGGCAGCAGUGGGGAAUAUUGCACAAUGGGGGAAACCCUGAUGCAGCGACGCCGCGUGGAGGAAGAAGGUCUUCGGAUUGUAAACUCCUGUUGUUGAGGAAGAUAAUGACGGUACUCAACAAGGAAGUGACGGCUAACUACGUGCCAGCAGCCGCGGUAAAACGUAGGUCACAAGCGUUGUCCGGAAUUACUGGGUGUAAAGGGAGCGCAGGCGGGAAGACAAGUUGGAAGUGAAAUCCAUGGGCUCAACCCAUGAACUGCUUUCAAAACUGUUUUUCUUGAGUAGUGCAGAGGUAGGCGGAAUUCCCGGUGUAGCGGUGGAAUGCGUAGAUAUCGGGAGGAACACCAGUGGCGAAGGCGGCCUACUGGGCACCAACUGACGCUGAGGCUCGAAAGUGUGGGUAGCAAACAGGAUUAGAUACCCUGGUAGUCCACACCGUAAACGAUGAUUACUAGGUGUUGGAGGAUUGACCCUUUCAGUGCCGCAGUU
RNAcentral lists this ribosomal RNA (779 nucleotides) under uncultured bacterium. RNAcentral describes it as "bacterial SSU rRNA". It matches the Rfam family "Bacterial small subunit ribosomal RNA", at positions 61 to 853 of the family's 1533-position model. The record is from RNAcentral.